GUGGGGUUCCGGCAGCCGUGGGUUGCGCGGAGCCGGCAGGAGGUCUCUGCCUUCCAGGUGGUCCCGUAAAGUGGGUACUGUUAUUAGCCCUAUUUCACAAUCUGCCCAAGAGCGGGUGAGGCCUGGAGGUGAGGCGGGCGGACAUGGGACGCACAACACAAAGUCUGGAGAGGGCGCCUCCAGAUGCUUCUUUGCAGGGCUUGCUGCCUCGUGAACCAUGAACUUUGUCUCAAAAGUCAUUUGGUUUCUUGUCUCGAAAACAUCCCACGACAGCUCUGAGUGCUACAAACCAGGCUGGGUGAUCUGCUGCUGCUGGCUUCCAGAUAUUGCUCCAAACGUUUCUGCGAGGCUGGUGAGUCCCAGGACAGCGAGACUUUCAAUGCCCACUGCCCGGUAUCUGGUAGUGCUCACAAAAAAUGUCGAUGGAGAAAAAAGUAGGACUGCGACGCGGGGCAGCAAUAGAUCUUCUCAUGCAGCACAGUUCCUGUCUACCAACAUGAGUUGCAGUCUAAAGCCACAGUGAAUUUUGUGACAGUAACAUUAACAAUCCAAUGGAGUAGAAACACUCUAGUCUUCCUAUAAACGUAUUCAACAUGGAGAACAGAAAUGAUUCUAGGAAUGACUUUGGUUUUUUAAAUUCUUCUUGAGGGAGAUAUAAAGAGCAUAGCAUCUUUGAAUUCUUGAGGCACUGUCACAAUACUCCAUAUGUUAUGGAAGAGCUGACACACAAAUAUAGGUCAUUAUUACUCUCCUUUUAAGAAUUGCAAGAGAGUGAGAGAGAGAGAAGCUGCAGCAAUCCAGACCAGAUGAUAUGGUAACACCAAACAGAAGAAGACACGAUCAUAUACACACUCACUGUACACUGGACUCCUUACUCUGUACGUACCCUCUG
Molecule: non-coding RNA, 892 nt
Organism: Kogia breviceps (pygmy sperm whale)
Lineage: Eukaryota; Metazoa; Chordata; Mammalia; Artiodactyla; Physeteridae
Source: RefSeq, a predicted model, not a curated record